UACGUAGGGUGCAAGCGUUAAUCGGAAUUACUGGGCGUAAAGCGUGCGCAGGCGGUUCGCUAAGACAGAUGUGAAAUCCCCGGGCUUAACCUGGGAACUGCAUUUGUGACUGGCGGGCUAGAGUAUGGAAGAGGGGGGUAGAAUUCCACGUGUAGCAGUGAAAUGCGUAGAGAUGCGGAGGAACACCGAUGGCGAAGGCAGCCCCCUGGGCCAACACUGACACUCAGGCACGAAAGCGUGGGGAGCAAACAGG
This 253-nucleotide ribosomal RNA is filed under the name uncultured bacterium. RNAcentral's name for it is "partial 16S ribosomal RNA". It matches the Rfam family "Bacterial small subunit ribosomal RNA", at positions 524 to 776 of the family's 1533-position model. The record is from RNAcentral.